GACGAACGCUGGCGGCAUGCCUAAUACAUGCAAGUCGAGCGAAUGAUGAAGAAGCUUGCUUCUUCUGAUUUAGCGGCGGACGGGUGAGUAACACGUGGGUAACCUACCUUCCAGAUUGGGAUAACUUCGGGAAACCGGAGCUAAUACCGAAUAACACAUUUCUUCUCAGGAAGAGAUGUUGAAAGACGGUUUCGGCUGUCACUGUAAGAUGGGCCCGCGGCGCAUUAGCUAGUUGGUGAGGUAACGGCUCACCAAGGCAACGAUGCGUAGCCGACCUGAGAGGGUGAUCGGCCACACUGGGACUGAGACACGGCCCAGACACCUACGGGAGGCAG
This 335-nucleotide ribosomal RNA is filed under the name uncultured Bacillota bacterium. RNAcentral describes it as "bacterial SSU rRNA". It matches the Rfam family "Bacterial small subunit ribosomal RNA", at positions 28 to 351 of the family's 1533-position model. Lineage: Bacteria; Bacillati; Bacillota. The record is from RNAcentral.